UAGCUGAACUUUUUUUUUUUCUUUUGGCAAAAGUGACAUGUUUUAUGUUAUAUUUUGGGGCAUGUUAUUGUUCAGUUGCUGUUCUUUUACUUUUAGUUGUUGCUCUUCUUUGUGUGUACAAACUUUGUGUUGUGUAUGUUACAGCUGGUUCAGCAAUUGCCUUAGCAAUUAACCUGCUCUUUAUAUGUAGAAUGGUGUUUAAUGGUACAUGCAGUUCUCUUGUCUGAAGUUUUGGUCAUUUGUUUCUAUGUUUUCUGCCUUUUCAAUAGCAAUUGAAUCUAUUAUGUGCAAGAUUUAUAGUUUGCCACCUAUUAUGUGCCACAGAAAAUCUGUUUCUUAUUGCAAAGUUUUAAUAUUGAUAUUUCUUUCCAUGCUUAUUUUUGCAUGACUAGAGCUAAUUUUCAGAUUAAGCAUGCCCAGCAUCUUACACUUGGGACUGCAAACAGGUUUGGUGAACUAGGGAUUAUUGCUUCAGUACAGGUUCAUCACAACUCUCUGUUGCACUCUAGUAACAUACUGUAACAUUUAAGGUUGAGUUUUGAAUUAAAUGUUGGUUUCUGUGUGUGAAACUAGAUAUUCAUUUAUUUUUUAAGAAACUACAUAAUUUAACAAUGAAGUGUAGAUAAUCACUACAACAAAGUGAAGUAAUUGUCACUUAAGGUUCUUAUUUUAAUACUUUUCCAUAAAACUUGUGUAGAAUUUGGAAAUAUCUUGUCUUGAAAAGAAUUUGGAUAUGAGACUCAGUGUAGUCACCAAAGAAACUAAACCUGGUCUAACUGUAAGUCUUCUAUAUAUCAUAUUAACUGAAAAUCUAGCUUUCUAGAGACUACAGAGAUAUUGAUUACUGCUAAAUUAUUCAUGCUAUAUUAUAGGAAGAUGACAUGCUAUUUAAUUGAAACUAAUCUAGAUUUUUUAUGAACACUUAGAAUCUUGUGCAACUGGGAUAUCUAACUGAAACUAAUCUAGAUUUAUGAUGUUUUGACAAUACUAAUUAACUAAAAGCUUCUGCAGCAAUACCUGCUAGGCUGUGUGUUUUGCUUUAAUGGGCAUUGAGUGUGGGUUGUUGAGAUCAUCUGCACUUUGGUCAGGAAAUUAUCUCCUAAUCCUAAUAGUGUUGCUAUAAUGGCCAUGGGUGCUAACAUCUUGGGUUCAUGGGAGGAGCUGCCAUUGUUGGGUUCAUGGGAGGAGCUGUCAUUACAAUUGCCCUUCAGCAGCUCAAAGGAUUGCUUGGCAUAAAAAAGAAUUUCACAAAGAAGAAUCUCUGUUUUGCGCUCAGUGUUUAAUUCAACCCACCAUGUUGUAAUAUGAUUUCUUAAGCCUAGACUAGUAGACUAAAUAUUGUAAUUACAUUUGAGUAAUUAAUAAAAAUCUAUUUAUGUUA
This is a long non-coding RNA of Humulus lupulus (European hop), 1381 nucleotides long. RefSeq lists it as uncharacterized. The transcript has 2 exons. The record is from RefSeq and is a predicted model, not a curated record. NCBI's taxonomy places the organism in Eukaryota, Viridiplantae, Streptophyta, Magnoliopsida, Rosales, Cannabaceae.